AUAACUACAUGCCGCAGGGUAUCUGAAUCAACCAACUCAGCUGAGGACAAGGAACAAAGCUCCACUGGGGAUCAAACACGCCGUCGAGGAACUGAAUCAACACAAACAUCUAGGGAUACCCGAAGGGUUAACUGCUUGGGGAACCUUCAAUGUUUCGCACUUAAGGACUUGCUAUCCAUCAAAAUGCUGUUGAUAUUUCUUUUUAA
Molecule: long non-coding RNA, 206 nt
Filed under: Lathyrus oleraceus (garden pea)
Lineage: Eukaryota; Viridiplantae; Streptophyta; Magnoliopsida; Fabales; Fabaceae
Description: Pisum sativum (pea) long non-coding RNA (PSAT_LNC017539)
Source: RNAcentral